GUAAUAGCUCACUGGUCGAGUCGGCCUGCGCGGAAGAUGUAACGGGGCUAAACCAUGCACCGAAGCUGCGGCAGCGACACUGUGUGUUGUUGGGUAGGGGAGCGUUCUGUAAGCCUGUGAAGGUGUACUGUGAGGUAUGCUGGAGGUAUCAGAAGUGCGAAUGCUGACAUAAGUAACGAUAAAGCGGGUGAAAAGCCCGCUCGCCGGAAGACCAAGGGUUCCUGUCCAACGUUAAUCGGGGCAGGGUGAGUCGACCCCUAAGG
RNAcentral lists this ribosomal RNA (263 nucleotides) under Escherichia coli. RNAcentral's name for it is "partial 23S ribosomal RNA". It matches the Rfam family "Bacterial large subunit ribosomal RNA", at positions 1134 to 1396 of the family's 2925-position model. The record is from RNAcentral. Lineage: Bacteria; Pseudomonadati; Pseudomonadota; Gammaproteobacteria; Enterobacterales; Enterobacteriaceae.